Molecule: ribosomal RNA, 301 nt
Filed under: uncultured bacterium
Lineage: Bacteria
Description: partial 16S ribosomal RNA
Rfam family: Bacterial small subunit ribosomal RNA
Source: RNAcentral
CAGCGCCGCGGGAAUACGUAGGGUGCGAGCGUUAAUCGGAAUUACUGGGCGUAAAGCGUGCGCAGGCGGUUUUGUAAGACAGGCGUGAAAUCCCCGGGCUCAACCUGGGAAUGGCGCUUGUGACUGCAAAGCUAGAGUGCGGCAGAGGGGGAUGGAAUUCCGCGUGCAGCAGUGAAAUGCGUAGAGAUGUGGAGGAACACCGAUGGCGAAGGCAGCCCCCUGGGCCAAUACUGACGCUCAUGCACGAAAGCGUGGGGAGCAAACAGGAUUAGAUACCCGAGUAGUCCCUGUCUCUUAUACA